AUUGAACGCUGGCGGAAUGCUUUACACAUGCAAGUCGAACGGCAGCACGGACUUCGGUCUGGUGGCGAGUGGCGAACGGGUGAGUAAUGUAUCGGAAGGUGCCCAGCCGUGGGGGAUAACGUAGUGAAAAUUACGCUAAUACCGCAUACGAUCUAUGGAUGAAAGCGGGGGAUCGCAAGACCUCGCGCGAUUGGAGCGGCUGAUAGCAGAUUAGGUAGUUGGUGGGGUAAAGGCCCACCAAGCCAACGAUCUGUAGCUGGUCUGAGAGGACGACCAGCCACACUGGAACUGAGACACGGUCCAGACUCCUACGGGAGGCAGCAGUGGGGAAUUUUGGACAAUGGGCGAAAGCCUGAUCCAGCCAUUCCGCGUGCAGGAUGAAGGCCCUCGGGUUGUAAACUGCUUUUGUACAGAACGAAAAGGUUUCUACUAAUACUAGGAGCUCAUGACGGUACUGUAAGAAUAAGCACCGGCUAACUACGUGCCAGCAGCCGCCGUAA
This 500-nucleotide ribosomal RNA is filed under the name uncultured bacterium. RNAcentral describes it as "partial 16S ribosomal RNA". It matches the Rfam family "Bacterial small subunit ribosomal RNA", at positions 30 to 523 of the family's 1533-position model. The record is from RNAcentral.